AUGGGGGCAUUGUUUUUGGAGCAGCGGCUGGAUGGAGGAGACAAGUGGUGGAGCGGUUUUUCAUUUACCACAUCAAAGAUGGCGGAUCUCGGCGGCGUGGUGCAAUGGGGAUUCGAUGUCCGAUGCAAGGAGAUGGACUCGCGCAGGAGGAGGACGCUGUCUGGCGUCAUGGUGGCGUCGAUGGCAGAGAGGCCUAGCAAGGUCGGUGCAUUAGUUUUUGCUCUGAAGAUGGAUUGGUGGAAGAUGGCGGCGACAACACAUGAGAGUGCGUCAGACCGGUGUAUACCCCAAACCCAGUAUGUGGCUUGGUUGGGGCCUCCGGCAUUAGAUGUUAGGCAUUUGUGCGAUGUCUGUUUGGUAUUAGGCUCGGACUAUCGGCACACCUUCAUCAAGUGGAUAGAAAUAGUGACAUAUGUUGCUAGGAUGGUGGCUUCAGAAUAUCUGAUGUACUACUUUGUAAGGUCUUUGUGA
RNAcentral lists this ribosomal RNA (471 nucleotides) under Triticum aestivum (bread wheat). RNAcentral's name for it is "partial small subunit ribosomal RNA". The record is from RNAcentral. Lineage: Eukaryota; Viridiplantae; Streptophyta; Magnoliopsida; Poales; Poaceae.